ACCUUUAAAACCACAUUUUUUACAAGUAACAAAUGGUGAACAAUAAAGUGGUUUAUGCCUUGAUUUACUAUUAAUCAUUCUAAUAUUAUUAUUAGUCCUAUUUUCCACAUUUUUAAUAGGAUUAUACUCAAUCCCUUGUUUAUCAAGACUGGACCUUUGUGCCCCUAACAUAACAUUUAGGUUCUCUUCUCCUUGCACAAAUUUAGUAAGAUCAUUUUUUAAAGAU
RNAcentral lists this long non-coding RNA (226 nucleotides) under Panax ginseng (ginseng). RNAcentral's name for it is "long non-coding RNA (PGIN_LNC017052)". Lineage: Eukaryota; Viridiplantae; Streptophyta; Magnoliopsida; Apiales; Araliaceae. The record is from RNAcentral.